AUCUACAUGGCUGCUAUGCUACUUUUUUUGUGUGAUGAAUCAUUGUGAGUUUCGAAGAAACUUCCAAUGUUACCUCCGCCAAGUUUGCCGGCAGAAGAAGCACAUCCAUUGAGCCGUUCAAUGUCGCCUGCGGUGGCUACACCAGAGGGUAACCAUGGUAGCAUCUUGAGCCCAAGAACAGUGUUACUGCCAUUUAACGCCGCGAUGUUUUAGCUCCAGGAAUUUGGACCCUCCUGCGAUAAGAAUCAGUUGAAAAGGAAAAUUCAUGCAACAAGGAUUUGACCCUAAACUCUUUUGAUUAUACAAACUACAAAGUGAUCUAAUUUCCAUUUUCUCCCUAUGCAGUCAAUCAAAAGUCUUAUUGGCACUUCUUGCUGCUACUACAUUCAUGAUGACCACUGUGUCAAGCCUUCCAAGUAUCUGCUCUCCUGAUGUUUACACAAGGGAGACGCUACUAAGGAAGCAGAACAUGGAGAAGUUUUCUUGAUGUUUACACAAGGGAGAUGAUACUAAAGAAGCAGAUCGCGAAGAAGUUUCAAUGAAUUAGAGAGUUAUAGAUGCCAGCUGGUCCUCUACAUAUCUGUUACCUGAUAAAAAUAAG
Triticum dicoccoides is the source of this 601-nucleotide long non-coding RNA. RefSeq lists it as uncharacterized. The transcript has 3 exons. Lineage: Eukaryota; Viridiplantae; Streptophyta; Magnoliopsida; Poales; Poaceae. The record is from RefSeq and is a predicted model, not a curated record.